Molecule: ribosomal RNA, 252 nt
Filed under: uncultured bacterium
Lineage: Bacteria
Description: partial 16S ribosomal RNA
Rfam family: Bacterial small subunit ribosomal RNA
Source: RNAcentral
UACGGGGGGGCAAGCGUUGUUCGGAAUUACUGGGCGUAAAGGGCUCGUAGGUGGCCAACUAAGUCAGACGUGAAAUCCCUCGGCUUAACCGGGGAACUGCGUCUGAUACUGGAUGGCUUGAGUUUGGGAGAGGGACGCGGAAUUCCAGGUGUAGCGGUGAAAUGCGUAGAUAUCUGGAGGAACACCGGUGGCGAAGGCGGCGUCCUGGACCAACACUGACACUGAGGAGCGAAAGCCAGGGGAGCAAACGGG